RNAcentral lists this long non-coding RNA (618 nucleotides) under Nicotiana benthamiana. Its description in RNAcentral is "long non-coding RNA (NBEN_LNC032837)". The record is from RNAcentral. Lineage: Eukaryota; Viridiplantae; Streptophyta; Magnoliopsida; Solanales; Solanaceae.
AUACAACACCAAAGCCAAACGGACAGCAAAAUGGGACCAAAUUGGACUCGCAAAUCUCAACAGCAAACUCGACGGAACCCAAAUCUGCCCGGAAACCUCACCGAAAAUCUCCAACCUCGAUGAUGAUUUAAACCAGCUUCGAACCUCAGCUCGCAGCCAAAUUUGUUCUGACUUUCCUCUUGAAAUCGGAUUAAAGACAUAAGCACAGACGAAGUAGAAUCAAAUACUUUUCAGUAUAAUAGAGAUGUCAAAAAUAUUGGUACAACUGAUAGGCCAAAAGCAACUUAUGAAUGCCACCAUUGUGUGUCUCAAGAAACACGGUAACCGGUUUGAAAUUGCAUGUUAUAAGGACCAAAUCGAGGUGUGAAUCUCACUCUCGAAUCCUAACUGGGGUGAGGAUUUUUUGAGACAACGACGUGGGGGAAGGGGGAUUUGUUUUGGUGUUACAAAGUUCAACGGCUACUUGGUGUUUGAAGUCUAUUAAGGCUGAUGCUUCUGUGAUUUCAUUCAAAAGCAAUAGCUUAUGGCUAGGAUGAAACCAUGGAAGAUGUCUCGUUCUUUGGCUGAAGAAGACGAUGAAGGGGGGGUUGUGUCUCGUCUACGACGCUGCAGCUUUUG